This is a non-coding RNA of Plectropomus leopardus (leopard coralgrouper), 1058 nucleotides long. Lineage: Eukaryota; Metazoa; Chordata; Actinopteri; Perciformes; Serranidae. The record is from RefSeq and is a predicted model, not a curated record.
GUCUUUGGACUGUGGGAGGAAGCCGGAGACCCACGCAGACACGGGGAGAACAUGCAAACUCCGCACAGAAGGGCCUCCCCGCCCAAGGUCCAAACCUUGCCCGAACCUGGAUUCGAGCCGGGGACCCUCUUGCUGUGAGGCGUCAUUUGUGCUUCUUUUUAGGUCAUUUUUUUUUAUUUUUUACAUUAUUUUUUUCAAAUAUUUAGGCCAUGUCUUCUUAACAUACUCAUUGCCUUCUACCUAUGUGUCAGACUAAUUUGUGUCAAAGGGUUAAAAUAAAAAGUCAUUCUACAAUUUUAUGGUUGCAUUUCCUUUUAAGACUGUGUAUUUAGUCUUGUCCUGGUCUAUUUUCAGUUUCCCUUACAUCUCGGCUAAUUCAACCACUCAUUAGAACAAGACAGUGCAACUCGUGGAUGGCUCCAUAAACACAAUGGGCUGGAUGACUCAUGUCUGUGCCCGUCUUUGUUUCCUGUUUGGUCCCUGCCGUGUCUCCUGAUCUGCCAGCGUCUCCCACUCCAUAGAUCCAGGUGAGAACUCCAAUUGGAACAGCUCCUGAAGUCAGAUUUCAAACUCGAAAAGUUGACGAAACCUCACCAACCCAAACCUCAAAACCCAAGAUGGCCGCUCUGUGUAUCAGCAGUAGUGAAAGCUGCGGAACAUUUUCAGAAAUUUGUGUGACUCUUCUCUCACCAACGUACAAGUGGAAGGGAAUGUCAAUGAAGGUCUUCAAAGGUUCCUCCCAUCACAGAUGUUAAGUUAUAUUUGGCCCAGGACACCUGCAGCGGGCUCAGCAGGAAGUUCUGGAGCCCCAGAAGCAGCCGCCUCCACAGCUUCUCUCGCCACUGUUCAAACGUCACAUACAUUCAUACCUUAAUUACACUUACACUAUGUUUAAUGUGCACAAAUUCUUAAAGCUGGCAAAGUUUGUAAUUUUUACAAUAUAACUUUUAGUUAGAUUUGCUGAAACUGGUAUUAUAGUAGUGCAGAGGGCAGAUAAUCUGUGAAAAACAUCAUGUUAUUCCUACUCCUCGUAGUGCUUCUAAUAGCAUUUGCAAUUA